This 10953-nucleotide long non-coding RNA is filed under the name Triticum aestivum (bread wheat). Its description in RNAcentral is "long non-coding RNA (TAES_LNC020894)". Lineage: Eukaryota; Viridiplantae; Streptophyta; Magnoliopsida; Poales; Poaceae. The record is from RNAcentral.
UUGACUAGACCAAAAUAUCGCCUAGAAAAAGACUGGACCAAAAUAUCGUCAAGAAGGCUCUAGCACAGCUCUUCUCCCCUGCUUUUCAGUGGCAGCACCAUCGCAUGCGCUCGUCGCUGGCUCGGCUGCGUACCACCGCCAACCAUAGCUUCAGCGGAUGGAAGAUGUAUGCCGCAGCGUCUCUACCGAUCUCUUUUUCCGAAUGGAUUUGAGGGAGCCUUCAGCCCUUCACAGGUAAAAUCCCUAAUUUUUGUGCAUCUCACAUGAGGUAAAUGUCAUCCCAGAUUAGAAAUUGUUGGGUAAACUCUCCAUGCCACAACCACGCUCAAGAUUUAGUAAAGAAGAUAUUUAAAUCUCCUUGCUGCAGGAACUUUUUCUUGGAUCUGCUACAAAAUAGAUUGAGAAUUGGGGACUAUUCAUUAGAGGGAUUAGAGUUGGUAUCGUGAUCUUCUGGAAGUAUGUGGUAUGAGAGAGAUGAUGUUAUAUUUAGUAGAGUUGAUAUCCAUUGCCAAAUGAAAAAGGUACGAUCUGUAUUUUUUGCUCUCAGAAAUUACUUCUAAGUUUAUAUAAAUAUUAAUGUAGAAAGAACUUAUGUGUACAAACAUGAUAGAGUUUGUUCACGCAUACAGAACUGAUGAACAGAAAUUUAUAUAUUUUAUUGAAAGAUUAAAGAUCCAUAUGUACGCAUACAUUUAUUCACUCGAGGAGGCUAAUGCCUAUGUUUUUAGAGAGACAAAUUGACGAGAUUUGGGGAAUCGGAAACUAUUUGUGAGAGAGAUGUGAGUGUUAGAUUGUGAGAGAUUAGUAAUGGCUAUUUAGGGGAAUUAAUUUGUGAACUUUCUAUAGAACGUUUUUAAAAGAUUUGGAUUUUGAGAUUAACCGUGAAUAUAUUUUAGUUGUGGGUCGUGGCUAUAAUGUGGGAGAUUGCGAAAAGCUUAUUGUAGGUGGAAUCCAUUAGUGAUUUCAUUGUUUCAUCUGCUGCGAUAUUUUUUGUGUUAAAAAUAUUCAAGGAUAAAUAACUAAUUUUAAAUUUAAUAUUUUACAGAAAGAUCAAACAUAUAUAUCUAUGGAUUAAUAAUUAUUUAAAAAUUUAACAUGCCAACCAAGUAAAUGUGUUGUUCAAAAUGUAUGGUAAGGUUGUCUGUGACUCUAUGUAAUUAUACAUGAAUUGUCUAAUGACUUGAGGAACUUCACUAUCAAUUAAAAAAUCUCUUUGUAAACAAUAUUCUUUGCGACAUCUUCGGUUGGACACUCUUCGUCAUCGAUCAGCACCUUCAAUCCUUCCUUGUUUGUCACUCUUGAUAGUGCCACAUAUAGUUGUCCAUGGCAGAACACUUGCUUAGGCAAAUAUAUGCCUACCUUGUUUAAGGACUGACCUUGGCUCUUGUUUAUUGUCAUUGCGAAGCACACUGAUAAUGGAUAUUGCCUUCUUUUCAGCACGAAUGGCCAUUUUGAGUCGCUUGGUGACAUGAUGAUUCGAGGUAUGUAUACCUUAUCGCCGACAUGUGUUCCUGUGAUUAUUUGUGUCUCGAUGUAUUUGUUUCCAAGUUGUGUAAUUGUCAUUCUUGUACCGUUGCAUAAGCCUACUGCUUGGUUGAUGUUGCGUAGGAGCAUGACCGGUAAACCUACCUUCAGUUUUAACUUAUGGUCUGGUAUUCCUGGGGACGUUAAGGUGUUGAGGAGCUCAGUAGGCUGCAUGUUCAUCAUGAUGUUGGUAUUUGUCAUUGCCUUGCACACUGUGUCCAGGCUUAGGUAUGUCACCUCUUCACCUUGUAUUUGGCUCAUCAUGUGGUCAUUUAUCUCCUUGACUGUAUCAUUUCUUGGACAUAGUAUUUCUCUUUCUUCUAGGUAAUCCCGCUCACGGUAUUUUUGCAGCAAAUUUGGGUACAUGCUUUUGACGAUUUGUUCUUUACGAUUUUCUCCUUUCUCUAGCAGUAGGUCUUUUGGUAUUUUUAUCCAAUCCUCCCCUUCAUCUGAUGUUGUUUUGCCAUCGCCAAUCUCUAGUAUCCACUCUGCAAAUUCAGCGACCUUUUGCUUUUGUAUUGGAUCAUCUGACAAACACUUCAGCCGCAUGUUUUGUGUUAACUCAAAUAUUUCAAAGUGUUUCCACAGAUAUGACCUUUUGAUUGAAGCAUUUACUAUCUGCUCUCUCCUUCCUUUGGUUAUAACUGGCAGGAUUUGUCUGAAGUCGCCUCCUAGUAUAACUGUCAUUCCACCAAAUGGCUUUUCAUCGCUGUUUUCAUUAGUGAACCUUAGAAUAUCUCUCAGGCUUUUGUCUAGUGCCUCGAAGCAGUGUUUGUUUGCCAUAGGAGCCUCGUCCCACAAUUUAAGUGAGGUCUUCUUUAGCAGUUCAGCCAAAUGCGAGCCUUGUUUUAUUUCACACGUUGAUUCUUCAGUGAUAUUAAGUGGAAUACGGAACCUUGAGUGUGCUGUUCUUCCACCUUGGAGAAGCAACGCUGCAAUGCCACAUGAUGCUACCGCAAGCACUACCUUCCCCUCUGAUCUUAGCUUUGUCGUUAUUGCUUUCCAUAGAUAGGUUUUUCCUGUGCCACCGUAGCCUUCGACAAAUAUCUGCUUUCCUAGGCCUUUGUCGACCGACUCCAUUAUUGCAUCAUAGGCCUUUUUCUGGUCUUGGUUAAGAUUGUUUAGUAUGAUUUUGUGCUCAUCCUUGAGUUUGUCCAUGUCGUAGUUGACCUCUUCGUUUAUUAGUCUGUUCCCAAGUUCUUCUAGCUCUACGGCAUUUGGUAGUUCUAUGUCUGGAUAGUCCUUUAGUGACUUUCCUACUUGCCUCAUCAGUUUUUUUAUCUCAAUCAGACCAUACGCUUUCUUCUGUGUGUUUGUAAGCCAAAGUGUUGGAAAGUUUAGAAUAGUCCUUCUUUUGUAUUGCAUAUCUUCACACAACGCCUCCCAUGUUGAAUCCCACAAUACCUUUGGGUUUGUGACUUCGCAAUGGGACAAUAUGGCGGUGAAUAACUGACGCAGUUGUGUUCCGGAAGCCCAACUUGAUGCUUCAUUGAUACAGUCAAUCCACUCGGUGUCAUCAUCGAGAAAUCCGAGGGCUUGGCAUGCUGAUUUGUAUGUUGGGUGAAUGACUCCAUCAACGGUCCUAAUGUCCUCAAAUGAUGUGCAUCCUUUCUUGGUGUUUAGAAGCAUCCUCAUAUGAAAUCUCUCGCCACUUGCGGGAUGUGCAUAGUAGAUUCUUCCAAUUGCGUAGUCCUUUUUUUCGCUUCUGCCAACAUUUUGUUUCGCUUUUCCAUACAAACUUUGUAGGGAAUUCUGCGUAAGUCAAUCCUUUUCCUAGAUCAUAUAUUUUAUUUGCCUCCAUCCACUGAGUGAACUUGGUGAUUUUAUAUCCGUCCCUUGUUACUAUCUUUUCAAGACUAGUGGAGUCUGGAAAAACGACUUGUUGCUCAUUUUCAAGAUGGAAAGGUAGCCUCUCAACUGCUGGAUCGCGAUACUGAAGAUCAAACUGAAAUAUCCUCCAGCAUGCUUCUGAUGUUGAUGUGUAUCUCAUCUCUAGGUAUUUCUUGAUCUCGUCAGUUUCGUUUGCCGUGCCACUUUCCUUGAGCAAGGUUGUAACAUGGUCGUCAUCUUUAUGGAUAUACUUAAAUAGGUACUUGAUUGAUCUGGACCUAUUGCACCACUCAACAUUUAUGUGAGCUUGAUACUUGACCAGAAGGUUCCGGUUGUAUGGCACGACAAAUCUGUUGUCGAGCAUCACCCCUCCCUUUUUGAUCUGCCUUCCAUCAUCCCUCCUUUUAUAUACUGGAAAUCCGUCCUCGUCAAUGGUAGUGCUAACAUUGUAUCUUUUUGGGAAAUGCUUGGUGCAUCUAUGGUCCACCAUGCAUGGUGAGUUUUUCUUAGCCUCUCCGCACGGGCCAUGCAUCAUGAAGUUCUCAACAGCUUCAAAUGCCUCUGGAUCCUCAUCCUUGUUUGGGAUUUCAGCGCUUAUUAUUUUGUCGAUUUGCGAUGGUUCCGGGUACUUGUCUUUGUCCUUCAAAAAUAUUAGUAUGUGCGCAUGCGGGAGUCCUCUCUUCUGGAAUUCUAUUGUGUAGAUGACUGCAAUUGAUUAAUAGUUUGUCAGAUUUAGCUUAAAUUGGAAUGCAUGUUACUAAAGAGCUAGAAUCUGACGGAGUAUAAGAUGAUGCAUGUUUCUAAAGAGCAACAGUCUGACGGACUAUAAGAUGAUGCAAGAAAGAGUAAAGAUUGAUAGUCAAUGGGACUUACUUGCAACUAUUUCUCCAAAGUAUUUCUUUUCUUUUAUGUCUCUCAUUAGCUCCUUUAGUUUGAUCAUAAAUACUCUGUCCACAAUGUCUGGCCGAUCGGCUGGCUUUUGGCCACCUCCCGCUUCAUCUAGCAUGUAUUGGAUCUCAGGCCACUUUGCAUUGCAUGUGAAUGUUAUAAAUAGGUCUGGGUAUCCAGCCCAACGGCAUAUUGCAAAGGCAUCUUGCAAAUAUUGUGCCUUGUUUCUUCUACCACCUGUAAAAGAUGAAGGCACAAUUAUCCUCUUUCCAACUUGCUCUGUUCUUGUGUCCCCUCGCUCAAUCGCAUCCUGCAAUCCACUGUAAAGUUCAGUUCGUAGCUUUCCUUGAUUGUGUCGGAUCCAGUUUAGUCUAUUUUGCUCGAUACAUGUGUAUACAUCCACCCAAAAUUGCAGUGACAAAUGCCCGGACUUGAGUAGUAACAUUCCUUGAUCAGGACGUUGCUAUAGGUAGAAUGCAUAGUAGUCCAACAACGUUACGUAUUUCCUGCUGUUUGUACCUCCUUUUGUUUUCUUGUAGGGUAUCUCAAGUUUAAAACCAUCUUCUCCAUAUGGGAACAACAACGGAUAUUGCAUGGACAUGAAUUUCGGGUGGAUCUCUGAUAUCCUUUGCAGCUCCAUAUUUUUGUACUCAACAACAAUGUCACGUCCUUCACUCUCUCUGGUUGGAUCUCUUACUACCAAUGCUGCAACUUCAGAUGCGGAUGGAAGGUUGUGUGUUCCAUUCCUUUUGCCUAGUAUCCGAAGUGUGUAAUCAUGGUAGUCUCCUUCUUGGAAUCUAUCUCUUGCCAUUCUGAAGGUUUUUGCGAGGAUGUUGUUGUCGUCGAGCAUUAUUUUCAGUUCUUUGACGAUGUUGGGGUCCACUGUUGAUUUUUUAUCAUUGCAUCUUGACGCACUUAUCCUGUUUUCCACCUCAUUUUUGGUAUUACAGAUGUAUAGCUGUGCAAACCGAGGUUUGUCUGUACCUUGAGGCAAAAGAGUUCCGAUAUGGUGGUAGUUUUGUCCAUGCAAACGAAAAACAUAAGGUCCUUUGCGAGUGUUUAUUUCCUUGUCCACAGCUCCUCCCAUCGAUGUGAAUGAAAACAUUGAGUUGUAUGACCUUAUAUUUUCUUUGAAGUUUACCGAAUCCUGCCCUUCACUUCUUAAGAGGUUUCUAAGGUAUGGUGGAGGUUCUCUUAGUGGCGGCAGAUCGAUUUUCCCUUGUUUGCAGCAUAUUCCAAAAGAGGGUGCCGUAGUUCCUUUGUUUGAAUUUAAUCUUUCUUCACACCAUAGCAAUGCUUUGCAAUAUUGGCAUUUGUAUGUUGGCCUUCCGAAGUUCCAUGGCUUGCUAUUAGAACUUGUCGAGGUUCUGGUUCUGUUGUUGUCUCCAACAUUGACUCUAGUGUUGUUUUUGUUGGUUUCGCUUUUGGCGCGCUUCAAUUCCCUAUCUUCUUCAGCAUUAGCCUUUCUCAAUCAUUUAGGAGCCUCUUGUCCAGACCCCGACUCGAUGACACAUCGAUCUAGCCUAUAACACCUCAUAUCACUUUGCGGCCUCACGCACGGUAUCCCCACGGGUGUCGCCUUACCUUUGCCCGGGACCGUUUGCGCCUUUUGGCUCACGUAUAUGAUAGUGUUGCUAGCAUCCAUAUGUUAAGGAGCCCGGGCUGACAUGACUAGUUGUAAACCCAAAGUGGCACAGACUUACAGGGACAUGCAUCCAUGACCCAGCUUCGAACGUGUUGGUCAUCAGCAAGAGGGUCCGGGCUGUAGCACUGGGCUAGCAGGACUCCGGUAAACCGGGCUGUAGCGGGCUAACAGGACUCCGGUACUCAAUGCGUGACAUUUCCCCGAAGGGACAGACACCGGAACGAAGGACACAUGCCGGCCAGCCUAAGUGUUCCAGAGCAGUAGCAAGCUGCCAUGGCUCAGUGGUAACACUAGGAGACAUUUCCUGGUAAGAGAGGCUACUAAAGAUAAACAACUAGAUAGUCAGAUCCCACACAUACCAAGCAUUUCAAUAACAUACACAUAGUAUGCUCGAUAUGUGCAAAUACAACAUGGCAUCACAACAUGACUCUACGACACAAGUACUUUAUUUAAGGCUCAGGGAACCAUACAUAAUCAUACACACAGGUACGGGUCACACGACCCAGCAUUCAAGUCAUACAGUCAUACAAACCAGCAGCGGAAGUAACUUGUCUGAGUACAGACAACUAGUAAAAUAAAAGAGGCUUGGAAAGCCUAGCUAUACUACGUGGUCCUUCACAAGCUCAGGAUCACCACCUGGGCCUUAGCCUACUCAUUGAUGUCAACGUCUAUGUAGAACCCAUCAGAAGGGGUUGCAGCGUCUUCUGUAAAAAAUGUAAAUUAUAGCAACAUGAGUACAAAGGUACUCAGCAAGACUUACAUCAGAUCCUACAUACAUGCAUAUUAUCAAGAAGGGUUGGUGGAGUUGUUGCAGCAAGCCAGCUUUGACUCUUGGCUAGGCUAACCUACGAGACUCCAACUUGAAAUGGUUUUGCGUACACGAGUCCACUACUCACCAAUUCAAUACACUACCGAGGAUCCACCUCCAUCUUCCUACGGAAGAGCCAUCCUCGGCACUCACACUUAUCUUGAGGCUUUUAGUAGUUUCCGUUUACUUGUCUAUGAACUGUAUAGGCAACCAAGUAGUCCUUUACCGCGGACGCGGCUAUUCGAAUAGAUCAUGAUAACCCUGCAGGGGUGUACUUCUUCAUACAUGUUUCCACCACUUAGCGUCUGCACACAACAUGUGCUCGGCAGACUUCAAGCGAAAGCCGACGUGGGUGUAGACCACGACCUACCUAAACACCUAAGCCUCUAGUCCAGGUUUAUCGCCUAUCCAGGUUCCAUCGGCAGGGAGUCCGGCCGAGGUUUCCCAUACGGCCCCGAACGAUGUGAACAGGGUUCCCGAGAUACCUAACAGGUAUUUGGUACACCCGGCCACGUACCUACCGCAUCACAGCCCACCCCUACGGUCAGCGCUGUCCACGGCCUCCAGUAGGCUACAAACACCAGAAACUACUUGCAACUCCUGGACAGAGAUCUAGGGUGAAUAAGAAGUCGAGCGGGGUCAUAUUUCAGGGCCCAAUGCAUGGUAGUAGCUGUAUCUUAAAUCACACAUACAGAUCUCAGUGCUUAAGGUCGGCUUCAAUGAAACAACCCACCAUGUACUCCUACAUGGCCUCUCAUCGAUACCUUUACCAAAUCGUGUUCACCACACCACUCUCAUUACCGACAUAAUCAUUUCACUCUAGCCCAUCACCCAGAUGAACCAGACCUGACAUGACUCUAAGCAUAGCAGGCAUAGCAAGGUAGGAACAACACAUACAUAUGGCUCACUCAACUCCUACACAUGCUAGUGGGUUUCAUCUAGUUACUGUGGCAAUGACAGGUCAUGCAGAGGAAAUGGGUUCAACUACCGUAGCACACAACAGUUUGAAACGCGUUGUCUUAAUGCAGUAAAAGAGAGCAGGAGGGAGAACAUGGGAUUGUAUCGAUAUGAUCAAAUGGUUGGUUGCUUGCCUGAUGGUUCGAUGCACUGAUACGGUUCUUCGUUAGGGUAAUCACGGUACUCCUCGGAGGCAGAACCUGCCGCAAAGAACACCGAUACACAACCAUCACCAAACAAUGUGCAACAAUAUGAUGCAUGCAUGAAACAUAGCAAUAUGAGUGUGUUGGGCUAAUGCAACUAAGACCAGAAGGGUUUGAACCAAUUUGAAUCAAAGAUUCAAAUUUCAAACUCAAACAUGGCCCUUUAAAGUGUUUUUCCUUGUUCUGCAUUAAACAUCAGGUUAACUUGUUUAAUCAUGCAUGAAAAUAGUACAGAUGGAUAGAUUGGAUUUUUUCUGAUCAUUUUUCAUAUAUAAUUUGUCUGAUUUGGAGUUACAGAAUAAAAGUUAUGAAUUUUUAAAGUUUAAACUAUAUUCUAGAAUUUCCUAUAUUAGAUUAAUUCCAGAAAAUCAAUUAUUGCGUCAGCCUGACGUCAGUGUGACGUUAGCAGGUCAACGGGACACGUCCGGGUCAAACCUGACAGUGGGUCCCGCGUGUCAGUGUGAUUAGAUUAAUUAAAGUUUAAUUAAAACUAAACCUGUUUAAUUAACAGGGCUGGGCCCCACCUGUCAUAGACUCAGGGGAGUCAACCAGGGCCCACCCGUGGUCAAACCCGGGUCGGCUGCAUCGGCGUUUAGCCGCCGGCGAGCCCGACGCGGCGGCGGAAGUGGUUUUGGCUGUUUCGGCCACCAAAUGGGUCGCGGAGACCACCGGAGUGGAGCUGAGGACGAGCCGCAACUCUUGGUGGAGUCCGUUGGGGUCGGGGUGGCCGGAGUUGGCGCCGGCGACGACUUUGGCAGCCACCGGGGUUCGGCCAAAGACGAACUUGACGCUAGAGGGGUCGGUGAGGCGCGGGGAGUAGCUAGCUAGGUGCUACGUGACGCGGUGAGCAUGAUGGACACCGUGGAGUGGUCGGAGGGUGACCGGGAGCACGUCGGCGACGAGCUCCACGGUGGUGGGUGCGGUUGAGCUCCGGGAGGUCGCUACACAGCUCGGGAGCAAGAAAAGGAGGGGGGAAGAUGGCUAAGCUCACAGUGAGUGCGACGAAGCCCUUGCUGCGGCCGGGGAUGGACCGGAGCGACGACGGCAUCGAAGGGGAUCUCCGGCGACGGCGGUUUGGGCGAGGUCGUUGCGGUGGACUCGGGCGUUGCGAGCGCUCGGGGCUCGGCUUGCUCGAUGAAGUGGACAGCGGCGGAGCUCCUGGACACGAUGAGAGGACGCACGGGCGGCGGGGAGCACGGCUACGAUGUAGGCACGGCGGUGGUGGCGUCGGUCAUGGCGGGGGAGCGCGAGGGGGAGGAGCUGGAGAGGAGAGGGGGUGUCUGGGGGGUUCGGGGGAGAGAGGGAGGCUGAUCCACGACGUCACCGGGCGAGGGGAGCGGCGAGGCGGCGAGCAGGUGCGUGGCGCGCGCUGCGGUCGCCGUCGGGCACCUGCCUGCCUGCCUGGCCGGCAAGCAGCUCGCUGGAGCGGCGCUGGGCUGGGCCGGUAGGUGGGCCGGGAGCUGGCGUCGGGUAAGUUUUUCCAUUUUUUCUGUUUUUUGUAUUUUUUAAUACUUCUACAACUUUGUUGAAUUAAAUAAAAUACUUAGGCAACUCCUAAAAUCACCAAACUACUCCUGGUCCAUAGUUGGAUUAUUUCCAACAUGAAACAUUUUAGUUUGGAGAUAUUUGAGCAUUUAAAUAUUUUAUAUAAUUUUAAAUGCCCAAAUUCAAAUAUUUAUGAUUUAAUUCAAAAACCCUAAGAUGGCCUAGGAAAAUGUGCAUCACUUUUGGCAGAGGUUCUGAACCAAGACAAAAAUGAUGGGCAUUUUAGAAGGGCAUUUCAGGUUCAUUGAAAAAGUUUUUAGUAAACCCUAAUUGGUUUCAGAGGGGACUGGGGUUCUGUCAUCCCCAUUUCAGGUUUCUGAUGAAAGAAUAAACAUGAUGCAACACUCUAAUGCAUGAACUAGCUAGGGUGUGACAUGUGUACGCAUUUCUUCUUCCCUCUGCAGUCCUUGUCCGUUUUGUACUCCUUGAGUUUAGAGGUUGUUCUUUCUUUCUUUUUGUCUGGUGAGCUGCUGGGUCUAACGUAUGUUGGACUCUCAUAUCUGCAAAUGUGAUUUUGUUAGUGCGUAUAGUUUCCUUAACAUAGUAUCAUGUAAUAUGAUUUAUUUUGUAAUCCCUCCGUAAAGAAAUAUAAGAGCGUUUAGAUUACUAAAGUAGUGAUCUAAACACUCUUAUAUCUCUAUAGAGAGAGUACUUAAUAGUGUUUUGCUUUUGCAGGCAUGCAAGUGCAUUUGGUGAUGACUACUAAUGGACGUUGUCACAUACAGUACAUCUGGAGAUUAAUGUUGUUUAUCUGGUAGGGAACUAAAAAUCAAUAAUUGUUCAACCAUGUUGCUCUUUUUGUAGCUUUCACAUUAUUAUCAUGGUAGUGUUAGGAUGCAUGAAAAAAGAGCUUUAUAGUUCAGUAUGAGAAGAGUUUUGACGCAAUGUUGAGCUGAGAUCAAAAUGCAGGCACACACAUGAAGAAUUGCAUCGGGAUAUUACCUGAGGCCGAUGGUGCUGAUGUUGUGUCUUCAGUUCAUUGGACGUUUCUUUGUGCCUGUGAUCGUUUGGGUGUCGUCGGCGUAUAUUGGAUGCAAGUUGCUGGAGUUGUUGCCAUACCUUCAAUUUGUCAGCCGUCUCGUGUGUUUGAUCUUCCCGACAUCAUGAAAAAGUAGCUAUUGAGAAAGUACAUCAUGGGUCAUUUAUGAAUGUAUGUCUUGUAAAAUUAUGGUUGAAUGAUGUUUAUGUGAUAUAAGCAGAGGGAUGAGUGUAUGUGACCAUACCUCUUGUUUGUUUUCUGAGACUAUGAUCUAGCAAUUUGACUAAUGUAGAUCACCUGAGGAGAAAGUUUUUGUGAGAAUAUGUUGGCUGAUAAGGAAGCUAAAAUAAUGCACGGAUUAAAGAGAGAAAAUAUAUAAUACCCUGGAACCUUUGCCUGCUUAGUCGUCGAGUUGCUUCGAAUUUGAGAAGACGGAUCAGUCGGCGAUGAGGCUUGUUGUGCUAGUAGGACGUGAUAUGAUGCACUUUAUAUAAUGAUAUGGUUAGAUGUUUUCCAAGACAUGUAGGAUUAGGAAUCAUGUAGUGAGUCAAAAUGUAGUGAGUCAAAAUCGGAC